UACAGAGGGUGCGAGCGUUGUCCGGAAUCACUGGGCGUAAAGGGCGCGUAGGUGGCCCGACAAGUCUGUGGUGAAAGCUCGACGCUCAACGUCGAGUCGGCCAUAGAUACUGUUGGGCUGGAGCACUGUAGAGGCUCAUGGAAUUCCGGGUGUAGCGGUGGAAUGCGUAGAGAUCCGGAAGAACACCGGUGGUGAAGGCGGUGAGCUGGGCAGUAGCUGACACUGAGGCGCGACAGCGUGGGGAGCAAACAGG
RNAcentral lists this ribosomal RNA (253 nucleotides) under uncultured bacterium. RNAcentral describes it as "partial 16S ribosomal RNA". It matches the Rfam family "Bacterial small subunit ribosomal RNA", at positions 524 to 776 of the family's 1533-position model. The record is from RNAcentral.